RNAcentral lists this ribosomal RNA (506 nucleotides) under uncultured bacterium. Its description in RNAcentral is "partial 16S ribosomal RNA". It matches the Rfam family "Bacterial small subunit ribosomal RNA", at positions 29 to 523 of the family's 1533-position model. The record is from RNAcentral.
AGUGAACGCUGGCGGUAGGCCUAACACAUGCAAGUCGAACGGCAGCACAGGAGGGCUUGCUCUCUGGGUGGCGAGUGGCGGACGGGUGAGGAAUACAUCGGAAUCUACUUUUUCGUGGGGGAUAACGUAGGGAAACUUACGCUAAUACCGCAUACGACCUACGGGUGAAAGCAGGGGACCUUCGGGCCUUGCGCGAUUGAAUGAGCCGAUGUCGGAUUAGCUAGUUGGCGGGGUAAAGGCCCACCAAGGCGACGAUCCGUAGCUGGUCUGAGAGGAUGAUCAGCCACACUGGAACUGAGACACGGUCCAGACUCCUACGGGAGGCAGGAGUGGGGAAUAUUGGACAAUGGGCGCAAGCCUGAUCCAACCAUACCGCGUGGGUGAAGAAGGCCUUCGGGUUGUAAAGCCCUUUUGUUGGGAAAGAAAUCCAGCUGGCUAAUACCCGGUUGGGAUGACGGUACCCAAAGAAUAAGCACCGGCUAACUUCGUGCCAGCAGCCGCAGUAA